GAUGAACGCUGGCGGCGUGCCUAAUACAUGCAAGUCGAGCGAACAGACGAGGAGCUUGCUCCUCUGACGUUAGCGGCGGACGGGUGAGUAACACGUGGAUAACCUACCUAUAAGACUGGGAUAACUUCGGGAAACCGGAGCUAAUACCGGAUAAUAUAUUGAACCGCAUGGUUCAAUAGUGAAAGACGGUUUUGUUGUCACUUAUAGAUGGAUCCGCGCCGCAUUAGCUAGUUGGUAAGGUAACGGCUUACCAAGGCAACGAUGCGUAGCCGACCUGAGAGGGUGAUCGGCCACACUGGAACUGAGACACGGUCCAGACUCCUACGGGAGGCAGCAGUAGGGAAUCUUCCGCAAUGGGCGAAAGCCUGACGGAGCAACGCCGCGUGAAUGAUGAAGGUCUUCGGAUCGUAAAACUCUGUUAUUAGGGAAGAACAAAUGUGUAAGUAACUAUGCACGUCUUGACGGUACCUAAUCAGAAAGCCACGGCUAACUACGUG
RNAcentral lists this ribosomal RNA (497 nucleotides) under uncultured bacterium. RNAcentral describes it as "partial 16S ribosomal RNA". It matches the Rfam family "Bacterial small subunit ribosomal RNA", at positions 28 to 507 of the family's 1533-position model. The record is from RNAcentral.